This 76-nucleotide transfer RNA is filed under the name Clostridia bacterium. Its description in RNAcentral is "tRNA-Thr". It matches the Rfam family "tRNA". From Rfam's summary of the family: Transfer RNA (tRNA) molecules are approximately 80 nucleotides in length. Their secondary structure includes four short double-helical elements and three loops (D, anti-codon, and T loops). Further hydrogen bonds mediate the characteristic L-shaped molecular structure. tRNAs have two regions of fundamental functional importance: the anti-codon, which is responsible for specific mRNA codon recognition, and the 3' end, to which the tRNAs corresponding amino acid is attached (by aminoacyl-tRNA synthetases). tRNAs cope with the degeneracy of the genetic code in two manners: having more than one tRNA (with a specific anti-codon) for a particular amino acid; and 'wobble' base-pairing, i.e. permitting non-standard base-pairing at the 3rd anti-codon position. Lineage: Bacteria; Bacillati; Bacillota; Clostridia. The record is from RNAcentral.
GCUGGUAUGGCUCAGUUGGUAGAGCAGCUGAUUCGUAAUCAGCAGGUCGCCGGUUCGAGUCCGGCUACCAGCUCCA